UCCAGACUCCUACGGGAGGCAGCAGUGAGGAAUAUUGGUCAAUGGGCGGGAGACUGAACCAGCCAAGCCGCGUGAGGGAGGAAGGUACAGAGUAUCGUAAAUCUCUUUUGUCAGGGAACAAAGACUGGGACGCGUCCCCGGAUGAGUGUACCUGAAGAAAAAGCAUCGGCUAACUCCGUGCCAGCAGCCGCGGUAAUACGGAGGAUGCGAGCGUUAUCCGGAUUUAUUGGGUUUAAAGGGAGCGUAGAUGGGUUGUUAAGUCAGUUGUGAAAGUUUGCGGCUCAACCGUAAAAUUGCAAUUGAUACUGGCAGCCUUGAGUACAGUUGAGGUAGGCGGAAUUCGUGGUGUAGCGGUGAAAUGCUUAGAUAUCACGAAGAACUCCGAUUGCGAAGGCAGCUUACUAAACUGCCACUGACAUUGAUGCUCGAAAGUGUGGGUAUCAAACAGGAUUAGAUACCCCGGUAAG
Molecule: ribosomal RNA, 467 nt
Filed under: uncultured bacterium
Lineage: Bacteria
Description: bacterial SSU rRNA
Rfam family: Bacterial small subunit ribosomal RNA
Source: RNAcentral